GAUGAACGCUGGCGGCGUGCCUAAUACAUGCAAGUCGAGCGAACGGACGAGAAGCUUGCUUCUCUGAUGUUAGCGGCGGACGGGUGAGUAACACGUGGAUAACCUACCUAUAAGACUGGGAUAACUUCGGGAAACCGGAGCUAAUACCGGCUAAUAUUUUGAACCGCAUGGUUCAAAAGUGAAAGACGGUCUUGCUGUCACUUAUAGAUGGAUCCGCGCUGCAUUAGCUAGUUGGUAAGGUAACGGCUUACCAAGGCAACGAUGCAUAGCCGACCUGAGAGGGUGAUCAGCCACACUGGAACUGAGACACGGUCCAGACUCCUACGGGAGGCAGCAGUAGGGAAUCUUCCGCAAUGGGCGAAAGCCUGACGGAGCAACGCCGCGUGAGUGAUGAAGGUCUUCGGAUCGUAAAACUCUGUUAUUAGGGAAGAACAUAUGUGUAAGUAACUGUGCACAUCUUGACGGUACCUAAUCAGAAAGCCACGGCUAACUACGUG
RNAcentral lists this ribosomal RNA (497 nucleotides) under uncultured bacterium. Its description in RNAcentral is "partial 16S ribosomal RNA". It matches the Rfam family "Bacterial small subunit ribosomal RNA", at positions 28 to 507 of the family's 1533-position model. The record is from RNAcentral.